AGAGUUUGAUCAUGGCUCAGAUUGAACGCUGGCGGCAGGCCUAACACAUGCAAGUCGAGCGGUAGAGAGGUGCUUGCACCUCUUGAGAGCGGCGGACGGGUGAGUAAUACCUAGGAAUCUGCCUGGUAGUGGGGGAUAACGUUCGGAAACGGACGCUAAUACCGCAUACGUCCUACGGGAGAAAGCAGGGGACCUUCGGGCCUUGCGCUAUCAGAUGAGCCUAGGUCGGAUUAGCUAGUUGGUGAGGUAAUGGCUCACCAAGGCUACGAUCCGUAACUGGUCUGAGAGGAUGAUCAGUCACACUGGAACUGAGACACGGUCCAGACUCCUACGGGAGGCAGCAGUGGGGAAUAUUGGACAAUGGGCGAAAGCCUGAUCCAGCCAUGCCGCGUGUGUGAAGAAGGUCUUCGGAUUGUAAAGCACUUUAAGUUGGGAGGAAGGGCAUUAACCUAAUACGUUAGUGCUUUGACGUUACCGACAGAAUAAGCACCGGCUAACUCUGUGCCAGCAGCCGCGGUAAUACAGAGGGUGCAAGCGUUAAUCGGAAUUACUGGGCGUAAAGCGCGCGUAGGUGGUUUGUUAAGUUGAAUGUGAAAUCCCCGGGCUCAACCUGGGAACUGCAUCCAAAACUGGCAAGCUAGAGUAUGGUAGAGGGGGUGGGGGGAAUUUCUGGGGUAGCGGGUGAAAUGCGUAGAUAAUAGGAAGGAACACCAGGGGGCGAAAGGCGACCACCUGGACUGAUACUGACACUGAGGUGCGAAAGCGUGGGGAGCAAACAGGAUUAGAUACCCCUGGUAGUCACGCGUAACGAUGUCAACUAGCCCGUUGGGGAGUCUG
This 837-nucleotide ribosomal RNA is filed under the name uncultured bacterium. RNAcentral describes it as "bacterial SSU rRNA". It matches the Rfam family "Bacterial small subunit ribosomal RNA", at positions 8 to 835 of the family's 1533-position model. The record is from RNAcentral.